RNAcentral lists this ribosomal RNA (266 nucleotides) under uncultured archaeon. Its description in RNAcentral is "partial 16S ribosomal RNA". It matches the Rfam family "Archaeal small subunit ribosomal RNA", at positions 717 to 982 of the family's 1478-position model. The record is from RNAcentral.
AGACGUCUACAUUAGAUACCCGGGUAGUCCCAGCCGUAAACUAUGCGCGUUAGGUGUAUCGGUGACCACGAGUUACCCGAGGGUGCCGAAGGGAAACCGUGAAACGUGCCGCCUGGGAAGUACGGUCGCAAGGCUGAAACUUAAGGAAUUGGCGGGGGAGCACCACAACAGGUGGAGCCUGCGGUUUAAUUGGACUCAACGCCGGGAAGCUCACCGGAUAGGACAGCAGAAUGAUUGCCGGGCUGAAGACCCUGCAUGACUAGCUG